Long non-coding RNA from Oreochromis niloticus (Nile tilapia), 1112 nucleotides. RefSeq lists it as uncharacterized. NCBI's taxonomy places the organism in Eukaryota, Metazoa, Chordata, Actinopteri, Cichliformes, Cichlidae. The record is from RefSeq and is a predicted model, not a curated record. The transcript is spliced from 7 exons.
GUCUGCACAAUGACCCAACAGUGCACAUGAUAUCCCAUGCAAAGAAACUUUUAACUAAAGGUAUGUUGAAUGUCAUGACAUGUGCAGAAGAGCACAAAUUUUCAUCUGUUGCCAUUCCAGCAGUGAGCUCUGGAAUAUUCAACUUUCCAGUCUCAAUUUGUGCUGAUGUUGUAGUCACCACAAUCAAAAAGUACAUUGAACAUAAGAACCCCACAAGUCCUCCAUUUGAAAUACACCUGGUAAACAACGAUGAUCCAACCGUGAAGGAAAUGGAAAGGGCCUUCAAAGAGAUCCUUUUGGAGCCACUCUCUGAUGUCAGGAGGACAAUCGAGGGGCCAGAGGAUUCUCCAUCUACACUGGAAAGGACAGAGCACCUUGAGAGAAACACAACCGGUGUGACAAAGGACACUGCAUCACAGGUCGCAUAUUUGUGGAAACAACAGGAAACGGAAGUUGUUGUUUCUGUGGUCCCAUCUCAGAUUAGAGGUAACAACUUUGUCAUACGUCACAGUGAGUUCCUGACCCUUAGACCACACAGCUGGCUUGUUGGAGAGGUCAUUGAAAGUCUCCUGCACCACUGGGCCAUUCGGCUAAAUCUGGGGAAUAAUAUCUACAUUAUGAACCACUACACGAGCGGUGUGAUCCUCUAUGGAGAGAGAGAACUAAUCAGGAGACAAAGCUUGUCCAAGGUGAACUUUGACAACUACCGAGCCAUUUUAUCCUUUGUGAACAUUGGAAAUGUACACUGGAAGUUUCUGUACAUAAAUGCAGAUGACAGCUGUCUGUAUUUGGUCGAUCCUUCAAGAAACUCUUUGGAGCAGGAAGAGUCUGACCGUGCAGCCAAAAGAUUCCGUGAAUCCUUCAAAAUGAGGAGGACAUGCUACAACAAAACAGACUGGGUGAAUGUGAGACUUCGAGGAGUACUGACACAUCCAUUUCAACGGGAUGGUUCUAGCUGCGGGGUAAUGGUCAUCAUGGUAUGGUACCGCAUUAACGCAAUAAUAUUGUUCUGUAAAAUUAGAUAAGAAGAUGGGGUGGGGGGUGGGGGGAGUUAAAAUAAUCUUAAAAGGUUAAAUUGUGUAAACAGGAAGUGUAACAUUUGCAGAUGUUUU